RNAcentral lists this ribosomal RNA (253 nucleotides) under uncultured bacterium. Its description in RNAcentral is "partial 16S ribosomal RNA". It matches the Rfam family "Bacterial small subunit ribosomal RNA", at positions 524 to 776 of the family's 1533-position model. The record is from RNAcentral.
UACGGAGGGUGCAAGCGUUGUUCGGAAUUAUUGGGCGUAAAGCGCGCGCAGGCGGCCUUUUAAGUCUGAUGUGAAAACCCUCGGCUCAACCGAGGACGUGCAUUGGAUACUGGGAGGCUUGAGUCUCGGAGAGGGAAGCGGAAUUCCCAGUGUAGAGGUGAAAUUCGUAGAUAUUGGGAGGAACACCGGUGGCGAAGGCGGCUUCCUGGACGAUGACUGACGCUGAGGCGCGAAAGCGUGGGUAGCAAACAGG